UACGGAGGGUGCAAGCGUUAUCCGGAUUCACUGGGUUUAAAGGGUGCGUAGGUGGGUCUGUAAGUCCGUGGUGAAAUCUCCGAGCUUAACUUGGAAACUGCCAUGGAUACUUUAGGUCUUGAAUACUGUGGAGGUCAGCGGAAUAUGUCAUGUAGCGGUGAAAUGCUUAGAUAUGACAUAGAACACCAAUUGCGAAGGCAGCUGGCUACACAAAUAUUGACACUGAACGGCGAAAGCUAGGGGAGCAAACGGG
This 253-nucleotide ribosomal RNA is filed under the name uncultured bacterium. RNAcentral's name for it is "partial 16S ribosomal RNA". It matches the Rfam family "Bacterial small subunit ribosomal RNA", at positions 524 to 776 of the family's 1533-position model. The record is from RNAcentral.